Molecule: long non-coding RNA, 1191 nt
Organism: Cucumis sativus (cucumber)
Lineage: Eukaryota; Viridiplantae; Streptophyta; Magnoliopsida; Cucurbitales; Cucurbitaceae
Exons: 2
Source: RefSeq, a predicted model, not a curated record
UCCACACUCGUUUACCUCUUGGGAUACAAAUGAUGAAAGUUAUCUCAUAGAGGGAGGGGACUCUCCCUUGGACGUGUUAGUUAUUGUUGGGCCUAAGUUUGUUUUGGACCUCUGUUUAGUGCAGGGAUAAAGAUUGCAACGAGAAGAGAAAGUCACGGUUGAAGACUUACAGACGUACACGUGUGCGGUGGAGAGGAGAAUUAGGGUUACAAGAUGAAAAGAGGAAUACGAAAGAUAGAGGGGAAGAAUCACUUUACCUUUUCUUUCUUUACUUCUUCUUUGUUCUCUCUGUGUUGCAAAAUAACCCUAAUGUGGUUUUUCCUUUCCUUUAUGGUUUGAUUUCAGUAUAUAGAACUCAUUGUAAUGAGAAGAUUAAGGAGGAGAAGAAGGAUGCUGCAAGUAUUUAUGUGGUUCGGCCAAGAUUACGGCCUACGUCCAGGAGAAGGAUCUUUCUUUAUAUUGAUGAAGAUAAGCAUACAUAUUUCACUCUCUUUUUAUUUUUUUUCUUUUGCUUUCUAUUUCACUUACUUGAUAGAAUGUAACAAUACAUAUUUAUAGGUGGUUACACAACAGAAGUAGUUAGAAAGGAGAAAAAUAGAAAAAGAAAAAAAAAAGGCUUGUGAAUUUUUGUUAGGAUUCAUUUUGUUUUACAAUCUCCACCUUGAAUCCAACUAGAAAAUUAUUUUAAAUCCUUUCAUUUAAUUCCUUUCCAACUGAUCUAUCCUUUUUAAGGUAGGUCGAAACCUAUAAGCUCAAAGUAUUUCUGCAACUUCAGGGAUGAGACCGGCUUAGUAAGUAUAUCAGCGGCAUUCUCAGAGGGAUAAAGAUUACAAGGAGGAGAGAAAGCCACGGUUGAAGACUUGCAGACGUACACGUGUGCGGUGGAGAGGAGAAUUAGGGUUACAAGAUGAAAAGAGGAAUACGAAAGACAGAGGAGAAGAAUCACUUUACCUUUUCUUUCUUUACUUCUUCUUUGUUCUCUCUGUGUUGCAAAAUAACCCUAAUGUGGUUUUUCCUUUCCUUUAUAGUUUGAUUUCAGUAUAUAGAACUCAUUGUAAUGAGAAGAUUAAGGAGAAGAAGAAGGAUGUUGCAAGUAUUUACGUGGUUCGGCCAAGAUAACGGCCUACGUCCACGGGAAGGAUCUUUAUUUAUAUUGAUGAAGAUAAGCAUACAUAUUUCACUCUCUUUUUA